RNAcentral lists this ribosomal RNA (445 nucleotides) under uncultured soil bacterium. Its description in RNAcentral is "bacterial SSU rRNA". It matches the Rfam family "Bacterial small subunit ribosomal RNA", at positions 26 to 518 of the family's 1533-position model. The record is from RNAcentral.
AGAACGAACGCUGGCGGCAUGCCUAACACAUGCAAGUCGAACGAGACCUUCGGGUCUAGUGGCGCACGGGUGCGUAACGCGUGGGAAUCUGCCCUUGGGUACGGAAUAACAGUUAGAAAUGACUGCUAAUACCGUAUAAUGACUUCGGUCCAAAGAUUUAUCGCCCAGGGAUGAGCCCGCGUAGGAUUAGCUUGUUGGUGAGGUAAAGGCUCACCAAGGCGACGAUCCUUAGCUGGUCUGAGAGGAUGAUCAGCCACACUGGGACUGAGACACGGCCCAGACUCCUACGGGAGGCAGCAGUGGGGAAUAUUGGACAAUGGGCGAAAGCCUGAUCCAGCAAUGCCGCGUGAGUGAUGAAGGCCUUAGGGUUGUAAAGCUCUUUUACCCGGGAUGAUAAUGACAGUACCGGAGAAUAAGCUCCGGCUAACUCCGUGCCAGCAGCCGC